RNAcentral lists this ribosomal RNA (239 nucleotides) under uncultured bacterium. Its description in RNAcentral is "partial 16S ribosomal RNA". It matches the Rfam family "Bacterial small subunit ribosomal RNA", at positions 118 to 353 of the family's 1533-position model. The record is from RNAcentral.
UAAGCAACCUGCCUAUCAGAGGGGAACAACAGUUAGAAAUGACUGCUAAUACCGCAUAUGCCUUAAUUACCACAUGGUAGUAGAGGGAAAGGAGCAAUCUGCUGAUAGAUGGGCUUGCGUCUGAUUAGAUAGUUGGUAAGGUAACGGCUUACCAAGUCGACGAUCAGUAGCCGGACUGAGAGGUUGAACGGCCACAUUGGGACUGAGAUACGGCCCAGACUCCUACGGGAGGCAGCAUG